This 208-nucleotide long non-coding RNA is filed under the name Lathyrus oleraceus (garden pea). RNAcentral's name for it is "Pisum sativum (pea) long non-coding RNA (PSAT_LNC000868)". The record is from RNAcentral. Lineage: Eukaryota; Viridiplantae; Streptophyta; Magnoliopsida; Fabales; Fabaceae.
AUUUUAGAACUCCAUUACCUCUGCUCCUACUUGAAUGAGACAAGGAAAAUAUAGAUUCAAGUUAGCAAUGUUAGUUUUUGUUGUUCUUGUUGUUCUUUUUAGUUGUUGUUUUUGUUGUUAUUAUUGUUCUUGUUAUUAUUCUUGUUGUUCUUGUUGUUUUGUCAUUGUUACUCUUUUUGUUAUUGUUGUUGUUUUUGUUGUUGUUUUU